CACCACAACGGGUGGAGCCUGCGGUUUAUUGGAUUCAACGCCGGAAGCUUACCGGGGCGACAGCAAUAUGAAGGGUCAGGCUGAAGACCUUACCGGAUUCGCUGAGAGGUGGUGCAUGGCCGUCGUCAGUUCGUACUGUGAAGCAUCCUGUUAAGUCAGGCAACGAGCGAGACCCACGCCCACAGUUGCCAGCGUACUCUCCGGAGUGACGGGUACACUGUGGGACCGCCGCUGCUAAAGCGGAGGAAGGAAUGGGCAACGGUAGGUCAGUAUGCCCCGAAUAUCCCGGGCUACACGCGAGCUACAAUGGUUGGUACAAUGGGUAUCUACCCCGAAAGGGGACGGGAAUCUCCUAAAACCAAUCUUAGUUCGGAUUGAGGGCUGCAACUCGCCCUCAUGAAGCUGGAAUCCGUAGUAAUCGCGUUUCAACAGAACGCGGUGAAUACGUCCCUGCUCCUU
Molecule: ribosomal RNA, 459 nt
Filed under: uncultured Methanosaeta sp.
Lineage: Archaea; Methanobacteriati; Methanobacteriota; Methanomicrobia; Methanotrichales; Methanotrichaceae
Description: bacterial SSU rRNA
Rfam family: Archaeal small subunit ribosomal RNA
Source: RNAcentral